CUAAUAAUAAUUGCCACGAGAGAGAGAGAGCGAGGGAAGCGAGUACGGUCGCCGUCUUCAAUCCCUAGUCUCUUGAUCUGGAGAACACCAGCUCCAAGUGAAUCCCCUUCGAUUUCUCGAUCGCAGGGACUGGGAGAGCGAGAGAAGAGGUGAGACGAACCUCGAAGAGGAGCUGGAGGAUAGGGUUGGAUUGGAUUUGGUGUUAGUUUCUUUGCGUUGUCUGCAUCGGGAAGGGAGGAGGGUUGAGAUUUCAUGUGUGGCGAAGGGCGGUUGACAGAAGAGAGUGAGCACGCAUCGGGUUGAAAUGGCACAAGACGGUGCUGUUUCCGCUGCGUGCUUACUUCUCUUCCUGUCAGUCAGCGUUUGUUGUACUUUUCUUCCGGCGAGAGCGAGGCUUGGAGACCCGUGCCUUUCCCCUCCGCCCUUUGUCCAUGACUGGUCUCUUUUCGGAGUUUCCAUCCAUUGAUCUUAAUGUUGGCUCGUCGGAUAUGUUUGACGAAGACUGGUGGAUGGUUGAUGGUUUUCGAGGAAAGAGCGUGACUUUUGAGAAGGCGAGAGAGUACAGCCUGCCCCUAUUCGGAUCGCGUUGAAGUGGAUGAGCGAGAGAGCAAGGAACCAGAAAGAGUACAUGCGCUAGGCCUUUCCCUCAGCAGAUCGACUGUUCGGCCAUUACGGAAGCCAUUGUCUGCCAGUUUUACCUUCCUUCUUGUUCCCCUCUUCUAUUUUAUCGUCUUUGUUUAGUUUUUCUUCGUUCCUCCUUUGUUUUUUGCUGGUCUUGACUGGGGUUUGGUGGUAAGCUAAUGGGUAUGGAGAAUAGGUGCUCUCGAAUAUUCAUCUCUGCAGUAGCUUCGCCAGGUUGCAGAAAAGUUCAGUUUUGGUUACAUAUUAUGAAUUGUUGGAGAAAGAAUUAGUUUUGAUGAUACUCCAUGAACCGUACUUCUUCAUUCAGGGUUUGGUAAUUAUCGGCCACAUUCACUAUCUUCAUAUUUUUCAUUCCACGUGCCUUGGUUGACUAGAUGAACAAAUUGAGCGAAAGGGAGCGAUCUUUCAUGACCUUUCCAUAUCAAGAUGUCAGGUUCUUUUAAUCUUCACCUAAGCGUUCGUUUCUUGCCUCCACUUGGAGGUGGUACCAUGGCUGCAGUAGCUUAUUCCAUGACGAUCCCUCCUGGGUUUACUAUCCUUAUGGCUCAAAAUCUUGUUGCUUGACUUUGUGGAACUCAUAACUUUACUAGUUUAUAGUUGGUUCCUCCUGGGUGUCUCUCUUUCCUUUUUCUGGUAUGACACCGAGAAACAGACUGUUGCAAAAAAAACCCCACAAGUUGUUUUGGAAGAUGAUAUUUUUCGUUUUAUUGCAGUCCACCUUUGGUGGUCCAGCCACUCAUUUGUUUCUCUGUCGUUUGUGGUUGAAGGAAUGGUUCGGUGUCUGACCAUGGAAGACGACAUUUUUAUUAUUUUCUUUACCCACUGAGGGCUGUCCAUCCAGGUUGGAGGCAUGAAUCUAUGCAGAACAAGUUUUAUCGGCCAGAACAUAUAAAGCCAAUUGAUCUUGGUUAAAUGAUGGUAAAAGUAUGACCAUAACAAUCUGACUAGGAAGCAUACUAAUAUUUCGAUGAAGAUCCUUAUUUCUAAACAAUAUUGUUGUAAAUACUUUAGAAUUGAUAAAUACAACUUAAGCUGAUAUUGACAUGCAAUUGUUGAUUGGCACAGGUCAGCACAGUUUAGGCUAGCCAGCAUUAUUGGCUUGGCAUGGAUUUUGGCAUACUCGACACAUGCAAUCCUUAUUUGUAAGUAUUUUUUUUAUUAAAUAUUUUCAUAGGACAUAGUUGACUCUAUAGUGAGGAACAGAACUUUUUAUAGUCAUGCAAAAAACUUCUGAAAAAUUCUUUCCCUAAAUAUUAGAAUUGUUUUGGGUUUAAAAUUUAUAAUCUCCCAUUCUUUAGUAUUACUUGAAGAAAUUAAUAUACAUCUAUCUCAAAUUAAAUUGCAUGUAUAGGAAAUCGAUUGGAAAUAGCACGUGUGGAAAUGUGGAAACAGAAGCUAAGCAGAAGUCUAAACUCUAAAGCAUGAAACAGAAAACAUAACAAACUAUAUAGAAUAUCCACUACAUAUUCUAGUUCUCUGCAUGUACAUCAGUCCUAUGUCCUUGUUACCGAUGCAUAAAUACUUGUUCUUGUUCAGGCAUUUAGAUGAUUCAACCACCAGCAGAAUUUAGACUUUGUAUGGUGACCAGCAUGUUUCAUAAAGUGUCAAUAGCAUCGCAACCUAAAAUUGGUCCUGAAUUGUAUUUUUUAUUGGUCUGAGAAUUCACAAAUACCAAAUUAAGACACUACCUUUUUUAGAUCAAUUGGAAAGUAAUGUUAAUAUCAAAAAUUUCAACUUAAGAGUUUCUGAGAUGUACAUCUUUUUUUUUUUUUCCACGAACUGUAAUAAAGGUCUAGUUGAACAUUAUGGGUUAUUCCUGUGGAUUAUGUAAUCUGCUAUGUUGUGUACAUGUAUAUGUUAAUAGAUUGAUCUGACCAGCUAAUUCUAUCAACAGGUUGUGUAAGAGUUUGUGGAUAUUGAAUCUUUCUUUUGGUGGACAAGUCUGCUACGAUAAGAUAGUUCUGUUAUGAUCUAUUUUCAAAUCAUGAUAAUGAUCUUUUUGUGUGUGUAGGAUAAGGUUGUAUACGUUGAUCCUUUCCAAACCUCAGUGAUAUGCCUCAUGUGCUAGGCCACCCUUUGUUUAGGAUAGUGGUUUUUUAAUCAUCUUCUCGAAUAGUUAAUUUGGAGUUAGCCUUUAAGUCAUGAGACUUACAGAUUUGCAAAAUGUUUAAUUAUUUUUUCUCUGAUUCAUACAAUGAACUGACAAUUGGUUUGCGGUCAACUACGGAUGAUUAUCGUAGUUACUGCAAUUAUAGUUGUCAUCGAUUCGCUGAAUUCCCUUUGAUGAUAUAAUCAUGUUUAUUGUUUGAGAGUCUUUUUAAGUUGUCUCGUCUUAUUUUAUGGAGUCUGAAAUU
This is a non-coding RNA of Musa acuminata subsp. malaccensis (wild Malaysian banana), 2996 nucleotides long. The record is from RefSeq and is a predicted model, not a curated record. Lineage: Eukaryota; Viridiplantae; Streptophyta; Magnoliopsida; Zingiberales; Musaceae.